Molecule: ribosomal RNA, 303 nt
Filed under: Providencia alcalifaciens
Lineage: Bacteria; Pseudomonadati; Pseudomonadota; Gammaproteobacteria; Enterobacterales; Morganellaceae
Description: bacterial SSU rRNA
Rfam family: Bacterial small subunit ribosomal RNA
Source: RNAcentral
AACUACUGGAAACGGUAGCUAAUACCGCAUAAUCUCUAAGGAGCAAAGCAGGGGAACUUCGGUCCUUGCGCUAUCGGAUGAACCCAUAUGGGAUUAGCUAGUUGGUGAGGUAAUGGCUCACCAAGGCGACGAUCCCUAGCUGGUCUGAGAGGAUGAUCAGCCACACUGGGACUGAGACACGGCCCAGACUCCUACGGGAGGCAGCAGUGGGGAAUAUUGCACAAUGGGCGCAAGCCUGAUGCAGCCAUGCCGCGUGUAUGAAGAAGGCCUUAGGGUUGUAAAGUACUUUCAGUUGGGAGGAAG